GAAACUUGCCCCGAGAUGAGUUCUCCCUGACCCUUUAAGGGUCCUGAAGGAACGUUGAAGACGACGACGUUGAUAGGCCGGGUGUGUAAGCGCAGCGAUGCGUUGAGCUAACCGGUACUAAUGAACCGUGAGGCUUAACCUUACAACGCCGAAG
This 154-nucleotide ribosomal RNA is filed under the name Escherichia coli. Its description in RNAcentral is "partial 23S ribosomal RNA". It matches the Rfam family "Bacterial large subunit ribosomal RNA", at positions 2789 to 2925 of the family's 2925-position model. RNAcentral also lists the same sequence under 1 other name. Lineage: Bacteria; Pseudomonadati; Pseudomonadota; Gammaproteobacteria; Enterobacterales; Enterobacteriaceae. The record is from RNAcentral.